This 481-nucleotide ribosomal RNA is filed under the name uncultured bacterium. RNAcentral describes it as "partial 16S ribosomal RNA". It matches the Rfam family "Bacterial small subunit ribosomal RNA", at positions 30 to 506 of the family's 1533-position model. The record is from RNAcentral.
AUUGAACGCUGGCGGCAUGCCCUACACAUGCAAGUCGAACGGUAACAGGUCUUCGGAUGCUGACGAGUGGCGAACGGGUGAGUAAUACAUCGGAACGUGCCCAGACGUGGGGGAUAACGAGGCGAAAGCUUUGCUAAUACCGCAUACGAUCUAAGGAUGAAAGCAGGGGACCGCAAGGCCUUGCGCGUUUGGAGCGGCCGAUGGCAGAUUAGGUAGUUGGUGGGAUAAAAGCUUACCAAGCCGACGAUCUGUAGCUGGUCUGAGAGGACGACCAGCCACACUGGGACUGAGACACGGCCCAGACUCCUACGGGAGGCAGCAGUGGGGAAUUUUGGACAAUGGGCGAAAGCCUGAUCCAGCAAUGCCGCGUGCAGGAUGAAGGCCUUCGGGUUGUAAACUGCUUUUGUACGGAACGAAAAGGCUCUGGCUAAUACCUGGGGCACAUGACGGUACCGUAAGAAUAAGCACCGGCUAACUACGU